AACGCGAAGAACCUUACCUGGGCUCGAACGGCUUCUCAACGGCGGUGGAAACACCGCUAUCCCUUAAAAGAGUGGAGUCGAGGUGCUGCAUGGCUGUCGUCAGCUCGUGUCGUGAGAUGUUGGGUUAAGUCCCGCAACGAGCGCAACCCUUGUCCUGUGUUGCCACCCCGUAAGGGAGCACUCGCAGGAGACCGCCAGCGAUAAGCUGGAGGAAGGUGGGGAUGACGUCAAGUCCUCAUGGCCUUUAUGUCCAGGGCUACACACGUGCUACAAUGGCCGGUACAAAGCGUUCCCAAGCCGCGAGGUGGAGGCAAUCGCAAAAAACCGGUCUCAGUUCGGAUUGCAGGCUGCAACUCGCCUGCAUGAAGCUGGAAUCGCUAGUAAUGGCAGAUCAGCACGCUGCCGUGAAUACGUUCCCGGGCCUUGUACACACCGGACACGC
RNAcentral lists this ribosomal RNA (442 nucleotides) under uncultured bacterium. RNAcentral's name for it is "bacterial SSU rRNA". It matches the Rfam family "Bacterial small subunit ribosomal RNA", at positions 958 to 1402 of the family's 1533-position model. The record is from RNAcentral.